Molecule: ribosomal RNA, 444 nt
Filed under: uncultured bacterium
Lineage: Bacteria
Description: bacterial SSU rRNA
Rfam family: Bacterial small subunit ribosomal RNA
Source: RNAcentral
UCGAGAGGCUUUGGCAAUGGGGGAAACCCUGACCAAGCGACGCCGCGUGGAGGAUGAAGGCCCUUGGGUUGUAAACUCCUUUUGCAGGGGAAGAAAUGCGAUCAGGUGAAUAAUCUGGUCGUUUGACGGUACCCUGCGAAUAAGCUCCGGCUAACUCCGUGCCAGCAGCCGCGGUAACACGGGGGGCGCAAGCAUUGUCCGGAAUCACUGGGCGUAAAGGGCGCGUAGGUGGCCACCAUAAGGCCGCGGUGAAAGUUCGGGGCUCAACCCUGAAUCGGCCGCGGCGACUGUGGGGCUUGGGCACUGUAGAGGCAGGCGGAAUUCCGGGUGUAGCGGUGGAAUGCGUAGAGAUCCGGAAGAACACCAGUGGCGAAGGCGGCCUGCUGGGCAGUGGACCGCAAGGUCCAGUAGCCGACACUGAGGCGCGACAGCGUGGGGAGCAAA